CAAGCCUACGGGAGGCAGCAGUAGGGAAUCUUCCACAAUGGGCGAAAGCCUGAUGGAGCAACGCCGCGUGGGUGAAGAAGGUCUUCGGAUCGUAAAACCCUGUUGUUAGAGAAGAAAGUGCGUGAGAGUAACUGUUCACGUUUCGACGGUAUCUAACCAGAAAGCCACGGCUAACUACGUGCCAGCAGCCGCGGUAAUACGUAGGUGGCAAGCGUUAGCCGGAAUUAUUGGGCGUAAAGGGAACGCAGGCGGUCUUUUAAGGCUGAUGUGAAAGCCUUCGGGUUAACCG
Molecule: ribosomal RNA, 289 nt
Filed under: uncultured bacterium
Lineage: Bacteria
Description: partial 16S ribosomal RNA
Rfam family: Bacterial small subunit ribosomal RNA
Source: RNAcentral